CGCUGAGGCUGCCCAUCCCCCACACUCGAGAAAAAUUAUAAAAAUAAACGUCCGAAACAGCGCAAUAACCCGGCGAAACCUCGCGUUCACAGCCACGCGUGAUCGAUCUACGCGAGGUUAUCAUUUAUAACGGCAAUAAUCAAGCGGAAAGACGGAGGAAAUGAAGCUAUCCCACCAGUGGUACAUCGCGGCAUCUCUGCCUCAUAGCGGCUGAACAAAUCAGGGGGGUACAAUGAUUUAGAAACAUCUCCACUGUGGCAAAUUGUGAAUAAGCACCCAACCACCACCACUUCUAAUGAGUGAGUUAUGAAAGUACGGUAUUCAUGCUACAGGGAUUCAGGGAUUCUUCUAGAAAACCUUUCAACAACCUAAGACAGCUUAUCAUCAUUCAGUUUUUAAACAAGCCUCAACAUUGUCUAGACGUCUGGCAACGUCAUCUUCAACAUAUUUCCUUGUUCCCGUUUUACAUAAUCUGUUAAAACUUGUUUUUAUGUGAAUGUGA
Long non-coding RNA from Neolamprologus brichardi, 502 nucleotides. RefSeq lists it as uncharacterized. The record is from RefSeq and is a predicted model, not a curated record. NCBI's taxonomy places the organism in Eukaryota, Metazoa, Chordata, Actinopteri, Cichliformes, Cichlidae.